Molecule: ribosomal RNA, 460 nt
Filed under: uncultured bacterium
Lineage: Bacteria
Description: partial 16S ribosomal RNA
Rfam family: Bacterial small subunit ribosomal RNA
Source: RNAcentral
CCUACGGGCGGCAGCAGUGAGGAAUAUUGGUCAAUGGACGAGAGUCUGAACCAGCCAAGUAGCGUGAAGGAUGACUGCCCUAUGGGUUGUAAACUUCUUUUAUAUGGGAAUAAAACGUUCCACGUGUGGGAUUUUGUAUGUACCAUAUGAAUAAGGAUCGGCUAACUCCGUGCCAGCAGCCGCGGUAAUACGGAGGAUCCGAGCGUUAUCCGGAUUUAUUGGGUUUAAAGGGAGCGUAGGUGGAUUGUUAAGUCAGUUGUGAAAGUUUGCGGCUCAACCGUAAAAUUGCAGUUGAAACUGGCAGUCUUGAGUACAGUAGAGGUGAGCGGAAUUCGUGGUGUAGCGGUGAAAUGCUUAGAUAUCACGAAGAACUCCGAUUGCGAAGGCAGUUCACUGGACUGCAACUGACACUGAGGCUCGAAAGUGUGGGUAUCAAACAGGAUUAGAUACCCCGGUAGUC